Lynx canadensis (Canada lynx) is the source of this 466-nucleotide long non-coding RNA. RefSeq lists it as uncharacterized. The record is from RefSeq and is a predicted model, not a curated record. Lineage: Eukaryota; Metazoa; Chordata; Mammalia; Carnivora; Felidae. The transcript is spliced from 2 exons.
AGCUCGCGGGGUGCCGAGCUGCCCGAGACCCCCCAGACGGUUCCGCUUUCCCGAGGGUUGGAGAUGAAAACUUGGAAGGACGUUAAGGACCCAACUUCGUUUACGUGCGUCCUCCUCGUUUUACCUGGGGACACAGGCUUUGGCCGUCACUGAGGGGUCACUGAGGGGCCAGAAUGGCCCGGGGUCGGCUCACUUCCUGCCCUUUCCCGAAGCUGAGUGGGGGGGGGGGCGCCCCGCCACCCGCCACCCGCCACCCGGGCCUUAGCCCUCCAGGCCCCUGGAAGUCCCGCCCUUCACCACUUCAGAGGGAACGUUUUUUCUUAAGGCGGUUAAAUAGAUUCUGUGAUCAAAGAAGGUAGACGCGGCAGAAGAUGAAGGGGCGGGGUGUGUUCUCCAAGCUCUCAGAAUCGCAGAAGCAGGUCCCGGUCGUGGAGCAGAAAAAAGGCACCAAAAUGCAACGCCAGAA